AGAAGUUAUCUGUGUUUCUUCA
RNAcentral lists this microRNA (22 nucleotides) under Dasypus novemcinctus (nine-banded armadillo). The record is from RNAcentral. Lineage: Eukaryota; Metazoa; Chordata; Mammalia; Cingulata; Dasypodidae.